This 74-nucleotide transfer RNA is filed under the name Anaerolineales bacterium. RNAcentral's name for it is "tRNA-Val". It matches the Rfam family "tRNA". From Rfam's summary of the family: Transfer RNA (tRNA) molecules are approximately 80 nucleotides in length. The record is from RNAcentral. Lineage: Bacteria; Bacillati; Chloroflexota; Anaerolineae; Anaerolineales.
GGGCGAGUAGCUCAGUUGGUUAGAGCGCUUCCCUUACAAGGAAGAUGUCGUAGGUUCGAGUCCUAUCUCGCCCA